Molecule: ribosomal RNA, 497 nt
Filed under: uncultured bacterium
Lineage: Bacteria
Description: partial 16S ribosomal RNA
Rfam family: Bacterial small subunit ribosomal RNA
Source: RNAcentral
GACGAACGCUGGCGGCGUGCCUAAUACAUGCAAGUUGAGCGCUGAAGGUUGGUACUUGUACCAACUGGAUGAGCAGCGAACGGGUGAGUAACGCGUGGGGAAUCUGCCUUUGAGCGGGGGACAACAUUUGGAAACGAAUGCUAGUACCGCAUAAAAACUUUAAACACAAGUUUUAAGUUUGAAAGAUGCAAUUGCAUCACUCAAAGAUGAUCCCGCGUUGUAUUAGCUAGUUGGUGAGGUAAAGGCUCACCAAGGCGAUGAUACAUAGCCGACCUGAGAGGGUGAUCGGCCACAUUGGGACUGAGACACGGCCCAAACUCCUACGGGAGGCAGCAGUAGGGAAUCUUCGGCAAUGGACGAAAGUCUGACCGAGCAACGCCGCGGGAGUGAAGAAGGUUUUCGGAUCGUAAAACUCUGUUGGUAGAGAAGAACGUUGGUGAGAGUGGAAAGCUCAUCAAGUGACGGUAACUACCCAGAAAGGGACGGCUAACUACGUG